AAUAAAAAAUAAUAAAAAUAAAAUUUAAAAAAAAAUGGAGCAGUCUGAAAACGAUUAUCAAAAAUUGGUGCGGGACGUGCAGCUGUUGCUGCAGCAGCAGAACGAGCAGCAUCAGCGGCAAAUGCAGCUGCUGCAGCAACAAUAAGAGCAACAAUUGCUACAACUGAGGGAGGAGCUCCUCCCUCAGCAUGGACAGGGCGACCAACCGUGGGAGGAGCCCCUCCCUCAGGAGGAGGAGAAGAAGGUGGCGGGUAGGCCACCGCGAAAGAGGGGAGUAGCGGCUGGUAGGUCGCGGCGCUUGAAGGGGUACCGGGAC
This is a long non-coding RNA of Osmia lignaria (orchard mason bee), 316 nucleotides long. RefSeq lists it as uncharacterized. Lineage: Eukaryota; Metazoa; Arthropoda; Insecta; Hymenoptera; Megachilidae. The record is from RefSeq and is a predicted model, not a curated record.